RNAcentral lists this transfer RNA (87 nucleotides) under Fastidiosipila sp. RNAcentral describes it as "tRNA-Leu". It matches the Rfam family "tRNA". Rfam says of the family: Transfer RNA (tRNA) molecules are approximately 80 nucleotides in length. The record is from RNAcentral. Lineage: Bacteria; Bacillati; Bacillota; Clostridia; Eubacteriales; Oscillospiraceae.
GCCGGUGUGAUGGAAUUGGCAGACGUGUCGCACUCAAAAUGCGAUGGGGAACCCCCCGUGCCGGUUCGAGUCCGGCCACCGGCACCA